CAGUCGCCGCGGUAAUACGAAGAGGGCUAGCGUUGUUCGGAAUUACUGGGCGUAAAGCGCACGUAGGCGGACUUUUAAGUCAGGGGUGAAAUCCCGGGGCUCAACCUCGGAACUGCCUUUGAUACUGUAAGUCUUGAGUGUGGAAGAGGUAAGUGGAAUUGCGAGUGUAGAGGUGAAAUUCGUAGAUAUUCGCAGGAACACCAGUGGCGAAGGCGGCUUACUGGUCCACAACUGACGCUGAGGUGCGAAAGCGUGGGGAGCAAACAGGAUUAGAUACCCCCGUAGUCCCUGUCUCUUAUAC
RNAcentral lists this ribosomal RNA (301 nucleotides) under uncultured bacterium. RNAcentral's name for it is "partial 16S ribosomal RNA". It matches the Rfam family "Bacterial small subunit ribosomal RNA", at positions 509 to 807 of the family's 1533-position model. The record is from RNAcentral.